GUCACAGUGUCAUGAAACACUCCCCACAUAAGGCUUUUCUCCUUUAUGCAUUUUUCGUCGGUGUAGCUCUAGGCUUAAUGACGACUUAUAGCCAGCCUCUCCCACAGUCAGAGCAGGAGAAAGGCUUCUCCUCUGUACGACUUCGCUGGUCUGUUUUCGGGACUUCUGAUUCGACAGAGCUCUUCUCCAAGGUUGAGCAGACGGACGGCUUUUCACCUGUAUGAAUUUGCUGGUGCUUCUUUAUGCAUUCAUGGCAGUAUAACCACACUGAAAAAAAUUGUGAAGACUCCUUUCUUUAUGUACUUGAUGCUGGUGAGUUUGAAAUUCACUUAAUAAAUUGAACUCCGUCCUACAGUCAGGGCAUUUAUGACCUCUGUGGGUUAUGUUUUCUCAUAAUAUUCCUUCUUAAACUGAGAACGCGCACACUUUUUGAGAACGCGCCUCUUUUGCAUAGUUUUGCUGAUGUACCUUAAAGCGUAACGCUGAAAUGAAACCCGUCAUACACAGAGAGCAGUGGUAAGGCCACUCUUCAACAUGGGAUUCCUGAUGUUUUUUGAAAAAAAACAAUUUUGGUGAACCCUCUCCCACAUUUGGAGCAUUGAUGGGGUUUACUAUUUUUGUCCUGGUGUUGGAUUUGGGGUUAAACUUGGAACAUUGUUAUACUCAGAAUUAUAGGAACAUUAGUUACAAAAGAGACAUGAGGGGUGCCAUAAUGAAGUUUGGGAGGGGCUGAGUGCAGGGAACACGAUCACAUGUGGCAGUACUGAUAAGGGGAGAAACUGUUGAAGGAUCAUAUCACUCAGCUCCCUGCUCAGCAAUAAUGAUGCAAUGUUUAGCGAUAAGGAGGAGACUCCACCCAAAGUGGGGAAUGAAUACUACCACGGGGGAAGCCAUGUCUGUGUUUGAAUUACAGCUGUAUCGACCCUUUGGGAAGAAUUAAACUUGGUUAAGCUUCUCCAGUGUCCGUGAGUUAUUUACUCAAAAUUAGAACCUAAAAGAUAGCGCUGCGAGGAGGGUUCACCAUGAUUUGUAGUCAAACCAAAGAGUCCAGAUCAGUGGAGCAGAGCUGGCAACAAACAAGCUCGACGUAGUGCCAGACAGGUGGCUGUUGCAAACAAACCGGCGGGUGUGUCAUGGGCCAUGGAUCCCAAAGGGAAAAAGAGAAAGAUAGCUGAGGAGAACAGAGGAUUCCACAGUUCUUGGACCGAAUCAUUUGCUUUCAUUGCCAAUGCGGAAGGAUUGCCUGCAUGUCUGCUUUGUAAUGAGAAGUUGUCAAAUAACAAAAAGAGUAACGUGGAAAGACAUUUCCAUUCUUCCUGACAGUUAUAGGAACAUGAAGAAAUAUGCAUUUUGAGUAUUAUCCAUCUUUGGAUCAAAAUACCUGUGCGAGCAGAUAUUCUCAAACAUGAACUACAUAAAAUCCAAAUACCGCACCCGCCUCACAGAUGAGAGCUUGCAGUCCUGCGUGAAGAUUAAAGUUACAUCUUACAUGCCCGAUGUUGAGAAGCUGUCCAGUGAUGUCCGAAAACAGAAGUCACAUUAAACGGGUAAGAACACAAUCCUGUCAUAGGCACAUAUUUAGUAACAAAGUGGCUGUUUUUAUAAAGUGAUUUCGGAUUUUUGUCAGUAUAUAUUUGGAAUGACACAUAGGGAUAUUAUUGUGUUUUGUUGCUCAGGUCCGAGGAUGGCUGCAUUGUAUUGUGCAUGUCAAAAGAGAAGAGGGUGCUGCUGCAUUUUACCCUUGCACAUUUGCAGAAAACUAAAGAGAAGAGGAUAAUGCAAAUCGAACUUAAACUGUAUUAUUUAAAUGUUAUAUACUUUAGCUUUUCAAAAGGCUGCUGUUUUACUGCACUCUGUCUGUUGCCCAGAUAAGGGGGAAAAGAGAAGAGGAUUGUAUGGUAUUAUUGAGGAUUGAAAAGGACUGCAUUUUAUUUCCAUGGGGAGGUCUGAAAUUACAGGAGGCCUAUUAUGCACGUUGCACAUUUUGUUGUUGUUUUUUCAAAUCCUAAAAUAAAAAUGACAUCAAAAAUCUGA
Non-coding RNA from Salmo salar (Atlantic salmon), 2034 nucleotides. The record is from RefSeq and is a predicted model, not a curated record. NCBI's taxonomy places the organism in Eukaryota, Metazoa, Chordata, Actinopteri, Salmoniformes, Salmonidae.